RNAcentral lists this ribosomal RNA (451 nucleotides) under uncultured organism. Its description in RNAcentral is "partial 16S ribosomal RNA". It matches the Rfam family "Bacterial small subunit ribosomal RNA", at positions 332 to 799 of the family's 1533-position model. The record is from RNAcentral.
UACACUCCUGCGGGAGGCAGCAGUGGGGAAUAUUGGACAAUGGGCGAAAGCCUGAUCCAGCAAUGCCGCGUGAGUGAUGAAGGCCUUAGGGUUGUAAAGCUCUUUUACCCGGGAUGAUAAUGACAGUACCGGGAGAAUAAGCCCCGGCUAACUCCGUGCCAGCAGCCGCGGUAAUACGGAGGGGGCUAGCGUUGUUCGGAAUUACUGGGCGUAAAGCGCGCGUAGGCGGCUUUGUAAGUUAGAGGUGAAAGCCCGGAGCUCAACUUCGGAAUUGCCUUUAAGACUGCAUCGCUAGAAUCGUGGAGAGGUGAGUGGAAUUCCGAGUGUAGAGGUGAAAUUCGUAGAUAUUCGGAAGAACACCAGUGGCGAAGGCGACUCACUGGACACGUAUUGACGCUGAGGUGCGAAAGCGUGGGGAGCAAACAGGAUUAGAUACCCGGGUAGUCCCAUG